Molecule: ribosomal RNA, 449 nt
Filed under: uncultured bacterium
Lineage: Bacteria
Description: partial 16S ribosomal RNA
Rfam family: Bacterial small subunit ribosomal RNA
Source: RNAcentral
AGCGAACGCUGGCGGCAUGCUUAACACAUGCAAGUCGCACGGGCAGCAAUGUCAGUGGCGGACGGGUGAGUAUCGCGUAGGAACAUGUCCAGAGGUGGGGGACAACCCCGGGAAACUGGGGCUAAUACCGCAUAUGAGCUGAGGCUCAAAGCAGUGAUGCGCCUUUGGAGUGGCCUGCGUCCGAUUAGGUAGUUGGUGGGGUAAAGGCCUACCAAGCCUGCGAUCGGUAGCUGGUCUGAGAGGACGACCAGCCACACUGGGACUGAGACACGGCCCAGACUCCUACGUGAGGCAGCAGUGGGGAAUAUUGGACAAUGGGGGCAACCCUGAUCCAGCAAUGCCGCGUGGGUGAAGAAGGUCUUCGGAUCGUAAAGCCCUUUCGGCGGGGACGAUGAUGACGGUACCCGCAGAAGAAGCCCCGGCUAACUUCGUGCCAGCAGCCGCCGUAA